AUCAUAGUUGCUGUUCUUAUUGUGGCUGUAGCAGUAGCAGUUACCAUAUUUCUGAAAACCUGUGCUUCUCAAUCACCUGGAGGGGAUCAGAUAUUUCUGUCAGAGGAGCCUGUAAAACCCACCACAGUAACACCAAUGUUAAAAAAGCAGGAUGUGCAGUGUGCAGCCUACUCUCCUGCUAAAAACAGGAGGAUUCCCUAUAAUGGAAAAGACUACUGACCCUCAGCUGAAAUUUUGACUUGAUAAUGAUGACCUUAUACAAAGUUUGUUUUGGGUUUUUUAACAUUGGUUUGGUCCAGGCCCAAUUAGUGUCGAGGCUUAUGAUGUAAAAGUACUGUAAUGGAGUGUAGAAGGAGAUCGACUGAGUUUAUCCAAAAAAGUUGAACUAUGUAAUGUGGUUGUGUGAAUUCAAAGGCCUGGACCGGAUGAAAAAGCUGCAGCAAGUUUGGUUUUUAACUUUUUUUUUUUUUGUUGAGGAUGCAAAUACUUUCUUUGUGUGUGAACAUGUUAAUAAAUGAA
This is a long non-coding RNA of Pygocentrus nattereri (red-bellied piranha), 519 nucleotides long. RefSeq lists it as uncharacterized. The record is from RefSeq and is a predicted model, not a curated record. Lineage: Eukaryota; Metazoa; Chordata; Actinopteri; Characiformes; Serrasalmidae. The transcript has 4 exons.